CAGCAGCCGCGGGAAAACGUAGGGUGCGAGCGUUAAUCGGAAUUACUGGGCGUAAAGCGUGCGCAGGCGGUUGUGUAAGACAGGUGUGAAAUCCCCGGGCUUAACCUGGGAACUGCGCUUGUGACUGCACAGCUAGAGUAUGGCAGAGGGGGGUAGAAUUCCACGUGUAGCAGUGAAAUGCGUAGAGAUGUGGAGGAAUACCGAUGGCGAAGGCAGCCCCCUGGGCCAAUACUGACGCUCAUGCACGAAAGCGUGGGGAGCAAACAGGAUUAGAUACCCCCGUAGUCCCUGUCUCUUAUAC
This 301-nucleotide ribosomal RNA is filed under the name uncultured bacterium. RNAcentral describes it as "partial 16S ribosomal RNA". It matches the Rfam family "Bacterial small subunit ribosomal RNA", at positions 509 to 807 of the family's 1533-position model. The record is from RNAcentral.